ACAGGUGCUGCAUGGCUGUCGUCAGCUCGUGUCGUGACGAUGUUGGGUUAAGUCCCGCAACGAGCCGCAACCCCUAUUGCUAGUUACCAUCAUUAAGUUGGGGACUCUAGCGAGACUGCCAGUGAUAAACUGGAGGAAGUGGGGAUGACGUCAAAUCAUCAUGCCCCUUAUGACCUGGGCUACAAACGUGAUACAAUGGCUGGAACAAAGGGAUGCGAAGCAGUGAUGUGGAGCGAAACCCAUAAAAACAGUCUCAGUUCGGAUUGAAGUCUGCAACUCGACUUCAUGAAGUCGGAAUCGCUAGUAAUCGCGGAUCAGAACGCCGCGGUGAAUACGUUCUCGGGUUU
RNAcentral lists this ribosomal RNA (347 nucleotides) under uncultured Acholeplasma sp. RNAcentral describes it as "bacterial SSU rRNA". It matches the Rfam family "Bacterial small subunit ribosomal RNA", at positions 1034 to 1381 of the family's 1533-position model. Lineage: Bacteria; Bacillati; Mycoplasmatota; Mollicutes; Acholeplasmatales; Acholeplasmataceae. The record is from RNAcentral.